ACCAAACAGCUAGCUUAACCCACCAAAACACAAGAUUACGAUUUAAAUAAUUUUACAAAAACUUAAAGGAAAAAA
RNAcentral lists this ribosomal RNA (75 nucleotides) under Sauvagella robusta. RNAcentral's name for it is "partial 16S ribosomal RNA". Lineage: Eukaryota; Metazoa; Chordata; Actinopteri; Clupeiformes; Clupeidae. The record is from RNAcentral.